Molecule: non-coding RNA, 79 nt
Organism: Podarcis lilfordi (Lilford's wall lizard)
Lineage: Eukaryota; Metazoa; Chordata; Lepidosauria; Squamata; Lacertidae
Source: the annotation of a GenBank genome assembly
GGGCCAUAGCUCAGCGGUAGAGCAUCUGCCUUGCAAGCAGGAGGUCCCAGGUUCCCAGGUUCAAUCCCCAGCAUCUCUA